RNAcentral lists this unclassified non-coding RNA (116 nucleotides) under Gracilariopsis tenuifrons. Lineage: Eukaryota; Rhodophyta; Florideophyceae; Gracilariales; Gracilariaceae. The record is from RNAcentral.
GUAAAAAGGAGGUUGUCAAAGACUUGCUUUUUUCUUUACGCGCAUAAUUUCGUUUUCGUAUAUUCUUUUUUUAAACGCAACCCUUCAUGUACAAGAAAAUUUUAAACUACCUAUAC